CAUAGCCGCGGUAAUACGGAGGGUGCGAGCGUUAAUCGGAAUUACUGGGCGUAAAGAGUGCGUAGGUGGUUAAUUAAGUUAUCUGUGAAAUUCCUGGGCUUAACCUGGGCAGGUCAGAUAAUACUGGUUAAUUCGAGUAUGGGAGAGGGUAGUGGAAUUUCCGGUGUAGCGGUGAAAUGCGUAGAUAUCGGAAGGAACACCUGUGGCGAAAGCGGCUCACUGGACCAUUUCUGACGCUGAUGCACGAAAGCUAGGGGAGCAAACAGGAUUAGAUACCCGCGUAGUCCCUGUCUCUUAUACC
RNAcentral lists this ribosomal RNA (301 nucleotides) under uncultured bacterium. Its description in RNAcentral is "partial 16S ribosomal RNA". It matches the Rfam family "Bacterial small subunit ribosomal RNA", at positions 512 to 808 of the family's 1533-position model. The record is from RNAcentral.